CAGAUCUGCCCAUCAUCACCACUACCACCACCACCACCACCACAGUGGCCACCUCCACGAGGGCCAGCGAGUCCCCUCGACGCUGGUCCAAUAUGUCACAAAAUGUGCCUACCACAACCAAUAGUUUCUUUGAUAUUCCCAGUUUGUUUGGCGCGGUUAAUGCCGGGAGGAGCGCAGUGGGCUACUCUGCGCGGAGCUGCGCCGGCCUUAUGUUAAUGGUUCUUCUCCACGUUUGGCGGCUAUCUGUGAACCUGUGAACUCUGUGAACCCUUGAACAUCGCGGCUGUUUGUGAACCCUUGAACAUCGCGGCUGUUUGUGAACCCUUGAACAACGCGGCUGUUUGUGAACCCUUGAACAACGCGGCUGUUUGUGAACCCUUGAACAACGCGGCUGUUUGUGAACCCUUGAACAACGCGGCUGUUUGUGAACCCUUGAACAACGCGGCUGUUUGUGAACCCUUGAACAUCGCGGCUGUUUGUGAACCCUUGAACAACGCGGCUGUUUGUGAACCCUUGAACAACGCGGCUGUUUGUGAACCCUUGAACAACGCGGCUGUUUGUGAACCCUUGAACAUCGCGGCUGCCUGUGUGAACCACUGAACAUCGCGGGCUGCCUGUAUGAACCACUGAACAUCGCGGGCUGCCUGUGUGAACCACUGAACAUCGCGGGCUGCCUGUAUGAACCACUGAACAUCACGGGCUGCCUGUGUGAACCACUGAACAUCGCGGGCUGCCUGUGUGAACCACUGAACAUCGCGGGCUGCCUGUAUGAACCACUGAACAUCACGGGCUGCCUGUGUGAACCA
Procambarus clarkii (red swamp crayfish) is the source of this 806-nucleotide non-coding RNA. The record is from RefSeq and is a predicted model, not a curated record. Lineage: Eukaryota; Metazoa; Arthropoda; Malacostraca; Decapoda; Cambaridae.